UGCAUCGUUGGUGUAAUGAUAUCAUGCAAGAUUUCCAUUCUUGCGACCCGGGUUCAAUUCCCGAGCGGCGCAG
This is a non-coding RNA of Cordylochernes scorpioides, 73 nucleotides long. NCBI's taxonomy places the organism in Eukaryota, Metazoa, Arthropoda, Arachnida, Pseudoscorpiones, Chernetidae. The record is from the annotation of a GenBank genome assembly.